Molecule: long non-coding RNA, 469 nt
Organism: Helianthus annuus (common sunflower)
Lineage: Eukaryota; Viridiplantae; Streptophyta; Magnoliopsida; Asterales; Asteraceae
Exons: 3
Source: RefSeq, a predicted model, not a curated record
AAUCCGGCCAAACUCCACCGGUUCCUACGGCCCUCAAAUCACCCAAACGAAUCACGAUCACUUACCUUGUUAUCUCGAAAUCUCUCACCAUAAAUCACGGGAUCUUAAGCGCGUAUCGAGCUGGCAGAAACAUUCCCUUCUAAGUUCAUAUCUUCGGCCCAAAUUAUGCGAGUUUACAAAAAUAAAGCACACGACUAAACCCUAUAUUAUGAUGCUCUACUUGUUUCUAGCACACAUCUCUCACCAAAUCGUCCCUUACUUAUCGAGCACCGGCUUUUGGAAACUCGCCGCCACCACCGCACGCUAUUCCGGUCAAGCCGUCGGUGUCGAGACGGGCAUCGAUCGAGGCUUUGACAACGUUUAUUCCACACGCACGAAUUCUUUAUGGUUUCGCUUUUUGAAAAUAAGGUUACAGGUUUAUCUUUGAGAAGACUGGGGAAGAGAGCUUAGGGGAUGAAUCACUCACAGG